RNAcentral lists this transfer RNA (76 nucleotides) under Acidobacteriota bacterium. RNAcentral's name for it is "tRNA-Val". It matches the Rfam family "tRNA". From Rfam's summary of the family: Transfer RNA (tRNA) molecules are approximately 80 nucleotides in length. Their secondary structure includes four short double-helical elements and three loops (D, anti-codon, and T loops). Further hydrogen bonds mediate the characteristic L-shaped molecular structure. tRNAs have two regions of fundamental functional importance: the anti-codon, which is responsible for specific mRNA codon recognition, and the 3' end, to which the tRNAs corresponding amino acid is attached (by aminoacyl-tRNA synthetases). tRNAs cope with the degeneracy of the genetic code in two manners: having more than one tRNA (with a specific anti-codon) for a particular amino acid; and 'wobble' base-pairing, i.e. permitting non-standard base-pairing at the 3rd anti-codon position. RNAcentral also lists the same sequence under 5 other names. Lineage: Bacteria; Pseudomonadati; Acidobacteriota. The record is from RNAcentral.
GGGCGAUUAGCUCAGUCGGUAGAGCAGCUGCUUUACACGCAGCAUGUCGGCGGUUCGAGUCCGUCAUCGCCCACCA